Shewanella benthica KT99 is the source of this 120-nucleotide non-coding RNA. NCBI's taxonomy places the organism in Bacteria, Pseudomonadati, Pseudomonadota, Gammaproteobacteria, Alteromonadales, Shewanellaceae. The record is from Rfam.
UAUUCUCUGCGUAGGGUACAGAGGUUAAGAUGUUCUAUCUUUCAAACCUUUUUAGUUCAUUUUUUAAAUGAGCAGCCAAAUUAUGGCGCCUCAGUAAUUUAUUUGCUGAGGCUUUUUUUC